UACGUAGGGUGCGAGCGUUACUCGGAAUUACUGGGCGUAAAGCGUGCGCAGGCGGUUUUGUAAGUCCGAUGUGAAAUCCCCGGGCUCAACCUGGGAAUGGCAUUUGGGACUGCAAGGCUCGAGUGCGGCAGAGGAGACUGGAAUUCCUGGUGUAGCAGUGAAAUGCGUAGAUAUCAGGAGGAAUACCGAUGGCGAAGGCAGGUCUCUGGGCUGACACUGACGCUCAUGCACGAAAGCGUGGGGAGCAAACAGG
This 253-nucleotide ribosomal RNA is filed under the name uncultured bacterium. RNAcentral describes it as "partial 16S ribosomal RNA". It matches the Rfam family "Bacterial small subunit ribosomal RNA", at positions 524 to 776 of the family's 1533-position model. The record is from RNAcentral.